This is a long non-coding RNA of Frieseomelitta varia, 1163 nucleotides long. RefSeq lists it as uncharacterized. The record is from RefSeq and is a predicted model, not a curated record. The transcript is spliced from 3 exons. Lineage: Eukaryota; Metazoa; Arthropoda; Insecta; Hymenoptera; Apidae.
AACGUUGAAACAAACGACAAACACGAUUAACAUCGAUUUUCCCGUGACAAUUUCCCCAUGCGACAGAAACGGUGACGACGUUCGUGCCUCGGGAUUGAGUACAACGUUCACCGUGACGUCGAGGAGCUUACCUCAUCGAGGUGCAUUAUAAAGUCAAAGUGCAACUCAUUCUCGGCCUCGUUUUACGCAAUCGUCGUCGUGUUCCUACAUUCCUAAGAAAGAACGUCGUACGGACGUGGAACGCGUUCGAGAUUAAAAUUCGUGGACAUUUUUGGUUGCGUUGGCCGGAAACGGAAACCACAUUGACGCAAGAUGCACCGACGAGCCGUGAAACGUGACUUUCGUAGACUUUCCCUCGCUCUUUCAACGACGAUCCGUUUGGAACGUGCUUUGCAAGUUUCCUACCUCCGGGGGUUAAUCGUCGCGAACGGAGCAAAGAAACGGAAGAUUUCCCCGUGAUUAAGGUUCUAAGAAAACGGAGGAGAAGCAAGUUCGCUUCAUCGCGAAUCAACGAGGCACGGAAUUCUUGCCAAUUCGCGUGACAAGACGAAUCGUUGGAGUUGUCGCGGAUGGAAAAUUUGCCUGGUUCGCAUGUUACACGCCGAUGCAACUUUUGGUCGGUCGUAUCGAGAAAAGGCGAUCAAUUUUCACGAUGAACAACUUUGCGGACUGCCGAGUCUUGGCAACUGUCUCAAAAGAGACAUAUAAACUCGGUUAACGUCAAACAGGUUCGUAAUUUUUGAGAGAACGUUUCACGUGUGUCGACUAAGGACUCGACAGCUGGCAAAUCGUGCUGAUAUUAAGAACAUAAUUCUGGCGGAGAGACGUUAACACGAGUGUUCGCAAAGCGCAAAUGUCGUUCGACCGGGGUUUCGCGAAUUCUAAAGAAACGAUUUGGCAGCUUUCCCGCGUCAGAAGGCAAGGUGAGAUCGAGUUCUUAAAAACAAAGCAGUUGACAACCUGUCUUCUUUAUCUUUACUCAGAAGAGGCGCGUUACCCCCGAAGAAAAACUAUAACUCACUCUUUUCUGCAAAUUUUUAGAUUUUCUUGGUAGAGAAUACAAUGUGUUAUUUUAUAAUGAUUUCGAGGAAUUCGGACUUUAAAACAAGAACAAGAACACAAAAACAAGAACUCAAUAAAAAGAUCUCCUUCUAUUUUUUGUU